RNAcentral lists this ribosomal RNA (396 nucleotides) under uncultured bacterium. Its description in RNAcentral is "bacterial SSU rRNA". It matches the Rfam family "Bacterial small subunit ribosomal RNA", at positions 29 to 420 of the family's 1533-position model. The record is from RNAcentral.
AUUGAACGCUGGCGGCAUGCUUUACACAUGCAAGUCGAACGGCAGCACGGGGGGGUAACUCUCUGGUGGCGAGUGGCGAACGGGUGAGUAAUGCAUCGGAACGCGUCCUGUAAUGGGGGAUAACCUGCCGAAAGGUGGGCUAAUACCGCAUACGUCCUGAGGGAGAAAGCGGGGGAUUGGCAACGACCUCGCGUUACAGGAGCGGCCGAUGUCGGAUUAGCUAGUUGGUGGGGUAAAGGCCCACCAAGGCGACGAUCCGUAGCUGGUCUGAGAGGAUGAUCAGCCACACUGGGACUGAGACACGGCCCAGACUCCUACGGGAGGCAGCAGUGGGGAAUAUUGCACAAUGGGCGAAAGCCUGAUGCAGCGACGCCGCGUGAGGGAUGACGGCCUCGG